AUUGAACGCUGGCGGCAUGCCUUACACAUGCAAGUCGAACGGCAGCACGGGUGCUUGCACCUGGUGGCGAGUGGCGAACGGGUGAGUAAUACAUCGGAACAUGUCCUGUAGUGGGGGAUAGCCCGGCGAAAGCCGGAUUAAUACCGCAUACGAUCCACGGAUGAAAGCGGGGGACCUUCGGGCCUCGCGCUAUAGGGUUGGCCGAUGGCUGAUUAGCUAGUUGGUGGGGUAAAGGCCUACCAAGGCGACGAUCAGUAGCUGGUCUGAGAGGACGACCAGCCACACUGGGACUGAGACACGGCCCAGACUCCUACGGGAGGCAGCAGUGGGGAAUUUUGGACAACGGGCGAAAGCCUGAUCCAGCAAUGCCGCGUGUGUGAAGAAGGCCUUCGGGUUGUAAAGCACUUUUGUCCGGAAAGAAAUCCUUGACUCUAAUACAGUCGGGGGAUGACGGUACCGGAAGAAUAAGCACCGGCUAACUACGUG
This 486-nucleotide ribosomal RNA is filed under the name uncultured bacterium. RNAcentral's name for it is "partial 16S ribosomal RNA". It matches the Rfam family "Bacterial small subunit ribosomal RNA", at positions 30 to 507 of the family's 1533-position model. The record is from RNAcentral.